RNAcentral lists this ribosomal RNA (497 nucleotides) under uncultured bacterium. RNAcentral's name for it is "partial 16S ribosomal RNA". It matches the Rfam family "Bacterial small subunit ribosomal RNA", at positions 28 to 507 of the family's 1533-position model. The record is from RNAcentral.
GAUGAACGCUGGCGGCGUGCCUAAUACAUGCAAGUCGAGCGAACAGACGAGGAGCUUGCUCCUCUGACGUUAGCGGCGGACGGGUGAGUAACACGUGGAUAACCUACCUAUAAGACUGGGAUAACUUCGGGAAACCGGAGCUAAUACCGGAUAAUAUAUUGAACCGCAUGGUUCAAUAGUGAAAGACGGUUUUGCUGUCACUUAUAGAUGGAUCCGCGCCGCAUUAGCUAGUUGGUAAGGUAACGGCUUACCAAGGCGACGAUGCGUAGCCGACCUGAGAGGGGGAUCGGCCACACUGGAAGUGAGACACGGUCCAGACUCCUACGGGAGGCAGCAGUAGGGAAUCUUGCGCAAUGGGCGAAAGCCUGACGGAGCAACGCCGCGUGAGUGAUGAAGGUCUUCGGAUCGUAAAACUCUGUUAUUAGGGAAGAACAAAUGUGUAAGUAACUAUGCACGUCUUGACGGUACCUAAUCAGAAAGCCACGGCUAACUACGUG